This 497-nucleotide ribosomal RNA is filed under the name uncultured bacterium. RNAcentral describes it as "partial 16S ribosomal RNA". It matches the Rfam family "Bacterial small subunit ribosomal RNA", at positions 28 to 507 of the family's 1533-position model. The record is from RNAcentral.
GAUGAACGCUGGCGGCGUGCCUAAUACAUGCAAGUCGAGCGAGCAGACGAGGAGCUUACUCCUCUGACGUUAGCGGCGGACGGGUGAGUAACACGUGGAUAACCUACCUAUAAGACUGGGAUAACUUCGGGAAACCGGAGCUAAUACCGGAUAACAUGUUGAACCGCAUGGUUCAACAGUGAAAGACGGUCUUGCUGUCACUUAUAGAUGGAUCCGCGUCGCAUUAGCUAGUUGGUAAGGUAACGGCUUACCAAGGCAACGAUGCGUAGCCGACCUGAGAGGGUGAUCGGCCACACUGGAACUGAGACACGGUCCAGACUCCUACGGGAGGCAGCAGUAGGGAAUCUUCCGCAAUGGGCGAAAGCCUGACGGAGCAACGCCGCGUGAGUGAAGAAGGUCUUCGGAUCGUAAAACUCUGUUAUUAGGGAAGAACAAAUGUGUAAGUAACUAUGCACGUCUUGACGGUACCUAAUCAGAAAGCCACGGCUAACUACGUG